GACGAACGCUGGCGGCGUGCUUAACACAUGCAAGUCGAACGGAAAGACCCUGCUUUUGUGGGGUGCUCGAGUGGCGAACGGGUGAGUAACACGUGAGUAACCUGCCCUUGACUUUGGGAUAACUUCAGGAAACUGGGGCUAAUACCGGAUAGGAGCUCCUGCUGCAUGGUGUGGGUUGGAAAGUUUCGGCGGUUGGGGAUGGACUCGCGGCUUAUCAGCUUGUUGGUGGGGUAGUGGCUUACCAAGGCUUUGACGGGUAGCCGGCCUUAGAGGGUGACCGGCCACAUGGGGACUGAGAUACGGCCCAGACUCCUACGGGAGGCAGCAGUGGGGAAUAUUGCACAAUGGGCGGAAGCCUGAUGCAGCAACGCCGCGUGCGGGAUGACGUCCUUCGGGUUGUAAACCGCUUUCGCCUGUGACGAAGCGUGAGUGACGGUAAUGGGUAAAGAAGCACCGGCUAACUACGUG
RNAcentral lists this ribosomal RNA (468 nucleotides) under uncultured bacterium. Its description in RNAcentral is "partial 16S ribosomal RNA". It matches the Rfam family "Bacterial small subunit ribosomal RNA", at positions 28 to 507 of the family's 1533-position model. The record is from RNAcentral.